Molecule: long non-coding RNA, 1284 nt
Filed under: Felis catus (domestic cat)
Lineage: Eukaryota; Metazoa; Chordata; Mammalia; Carnivora; Felidae
Description: lncRNA (ENSFCAG00000047635.1)
Source: RNAcentral
UACUCUUAACUGAGCCCUCCAACUAUAUCAGUACCUGAUUUCAAUGACAAUUAACUUUGUCACAUUAAUGAAAGUGCCUUCUGUAUCUGUAAAUGAAUCAGAAGACUGUUUGGUGAGGACUCCAGACUUCUGACAGAGAAAAGGCUAUGGGAAGAAAUGUUCCUCAGAACUAGGAAAAUUAUGUAGCAAAGACAAUACUUUGCCUUAGACUGUGUAUUUACUUAUGGUGGCUGGUGAUUGGAAGAAGGGUGGCCUGGUCUUGGAGAUUUUCAGUAUUUUAAUGUCCAUCUUCCUCCCUAGGCCAUACUUUGGGUUCGUGUUGCCUCUGUCCUUAAAAAUAAUAGAGACUCGUCUUGAGCACCUUGAAAUGACAUAGGGAGGCUCUAAUGAGUUUGGCAUGGCAAAAAUCCAUGUUCAUUGUAAUUCACAAAUAAUUUUUCUCUAGGGAACACUGCACAUGGAAUAAAGUAAAAAGCAGAAGAAAUGGGAAUGAUUCAUACUAACUGCACCACCAGGCUGGGAAGCAGAUCAGAGAUGAUCCUAAAUCCAGUACAGCUAAAGAAUCUCAACUCUGGAAAUGUUUCCCUUUCCCAUUUAUUCUCUCAUCCUCUCAAAGAAUCCAAAGAUGCUUGUAGGUAACUUGAGUAAGUUGCUGGCUGCCAGCCUGGAAACAAGACGUUCACAACUCAAGAACCAACCAAGGAACUCAGCCAUGUGGAGUACAGGUACAUAAAGUCAUUCAAUGUGAAGCACUGUAUGGCUGGGUCAAUGUUCAUGGGAAUAUUUACCAGGGAGAAUAGCCACUGAGAAGAGGGAUGGCCGAGACUGCCAAGUUUGGUGUCUCGCCUUUUUAAAACAAACUCACUCCUACACAGCUUGGGUGAGUGACUUACUACAUUCAAAUGGCAAUAUUCUCAUUUCAACCUUUCAAAAAGGAAAGCUACCAGUGGAAUCAGAGAUUGGAGGAAUUCUAAAACACUUUCCAAGUAAGUCUGUGUCUUGGGAGAGGUUGUGGGUUUCUCUCUUAUGACCAAAGAGAGGGUCAACUCUACCAAAGAACAAAAAUAAUCUAUUCACUAAAUUGAUAGUGUAAGUUUGGUAUGUGGGAGAGAGGCCUUUAAAAAUAAUUUCUCGGAGCAUGUAAGAGUCCACCUCUUGUUUUUGGCUCAGGUCAUCAUCUCAUGGUCAUGUUAUCAAACCCGAUGUGGGCUCCAUGCUGGGCCUGCUUAAGAUUUUCUCUCUCCCUCUCCCUUUGCCCCUCCCCUGCUUGCACUCACACUCUCU